UACGUAGGGUGCAAGCGUUGUCCGGAAUUAUUGGGCGUAAAGAGCUCGUAGGCGGUUUGUCGCGUCUGCUGUGAAAACCGGAGGCUCAACCUCCGGCCUGCAGUGGGUACGGGCAGACUAGAGUGCGGUAGGGGAGAUUGGAAUUCCUGGUGUAGCGGUGGAAUGCGCAGAUAUCAGGAGGAACACCGAUGGCGAAGGCAGAUCUCUGGGCCGUAACUGACGCUGAGGAGCGAAAGCGUGGGGAGCAAACAGG
RNAcentral lists this ribosomal RNA (253 nucleotides) under uncultured bacterium. RNAcentral describes it as "partial 16S ribosomal RNA". It matches the Rfam family "Bacterial small subunit ribosomal RNA", at positions 524 to 776 of the family's 1533-position model. The record is from RNAcentral.